This is a long non-coding RNA of Pieris napi, 1223 nucleotides long. RefSeq lists it as uncharacterized. NCBI's taxonomy places the organism in Eukaryota, Metazoa, Arthropoda, Insecta, Lepidoptera, Pieridae. The record is from RefSeq and is a predicted model, not a curated record. The transcript is spliced from 2 exons.
UACGUCUCGAUGCGACAAUUGGGGUAAUUCCGUCGAGCGUUUAGUCUCGCCCUAACGAUGGGUGAUGUCUUUGGAAACAAGAUAACAGGUCUCAAUAGCGAUCAGAUCUCUACACGUAGUAGAUAGGUGUGCCAAAAACCUUUCUGCCUACGCGCAAGCAGCCAUGAGUGGCUGUGGCGUGUUGGCGCCCGUUUUACUAGUAAUACUUCUAACUGGCAUAGCUGCUGCACCAAUUAACCUUGUAUCUACAUCAACCUAUAGUGUUUCUGGAGAAACAAGAGGGCUUGAGGUACCCAUGGAUCUCGUGGCGGGGGUCGGCAUUGGAAUGAGUUCAGUACAACUUGUUGUCAAUGUGCACACUGACAGCGCUGGAAAUAUUGAAGUUCAGACUAACUAAAGUAACAAAAGAAUAAGUGUUAGCUCACGAAAUAUAAAAGCUGAGUUGUUACAAUGUCGGUAAUCGUAAAAUAGUGUAGUACUCGAGAUGUUUAUAAUUUAACGUUUAGUGAACAAAACGCGCAUCAAUUAGAUAUAAUUCAUAACAAUUUCUCGCGUCAUAAUAAUUUGUCAGAUAACAAUGUCUUACGUUGAUGCAUUCAUUACAGAGAUAACGAAUGUCAUGUUCUUGUGAAACAAUUUAAUCGGUUUUAACAAUGGUUAACGCCAUUUAUAAUUACGAAGCUUAAAACAGCCCACGAAACUGUCACUCAAUUUUUAAAAAGAUAAAAACACAUUUUGGACAGCCUCCAAAAUGGAAUAUAAAAGUUGAAUGGUUCGAAGAAAAUGUAAUUGAAAUCCGAUAUAAAAUUGUGAAAUAAGGUCCAUAUGAGGUACAAUAAUGUUAUCUUUUCACAAGUGAACGGAAUCGCGUAUCAGCUUAUCAUUGUCGGCGAUAAAAGCAACGUUUGUAACAUUGCUCACGACAUGUUUUAUCAAGCAUGUAUAUUGAUUUCUGCGUCUAAGAUCUGCUUUCAUACUUACGGAGGUAAAUAUGACAAUGUAGAUCGGUUAAUUGUUAUGAUUUUAUUUGCUCAAUUUAAUUGAGGAUUUGUAAAAUGUUAUAUUAUUUUUUAGUUAAUAUAUAAAUGUAAAAUGUAACGAUUCGUAGCAAUUACGAUUGCUUUGGAGACCGAGACAUCAGCGUUUGUAGUUUGUAAAUUUAAUUAAAGGUAAAUCGGUAAACAAUCAUUUAAUUCGUACUUUUAUAUUAUAAUUUUUUUAAG